GAGACCCUCAGACAGCUGUAAAAUCUGACAGCCUGAGUGAGGGAAUCCAAAUCUGUUUCUUAUUGAGUAGCCAAGAUGGCUGGGUAACUCCACAGGCAGUUGUAGAUCACUUUUAUGGACGCAAGGGAUGUGUCAUCUCAGUAGCAUCUGCACAAAGUAUCUUCUUGGAUGAUUCCAGGUUGAGGAAGGGCCAGGUGUGGCUGUAUGUUUUUGUGAAACCCCUCACAUGUGAACCAAGUCCACUGCUCAGCACAUUCUGGGCUUUUCCAGCAUCUCUUAGAUGGUGAACUUGGUACCUCUUGAUCUUUGAAAUUCAGGAAUCAACUUAAAAGGUAACUUUCUGGUGCUAAAGCACAUCUCUCUCCUUCUAAUGCUGAAUUCACUUCAUUAUCCAAGCCCUUUGGUCUUUUACAGUAAAUAAUUAUCCACAGCUGUUGCAAGUUGGUUUAUCCUCCAAUAAAGGUCAGGAUGGCUGACUAGACAUCAGAGGAAAAACUUCUAAAAUUUGGUGUUUAGACUAACUUACAUCUAUGUUUAUCUCUUUUGUGUUUGUUGUAACUAAAUAGGCAAGUGCGGUUUGUGGUUAAAGCAUGACCAGGCAACCUGGAUGUCAUGGUUUUCUUUCUAGUUCUUUAAUUUUGAUGCAUGUGGAAUUCUCUCCUCCUUUGCUGCCUCAAUUUCUCCAGCUGUCACACAUAGAUCAGCAUUCAAGGGUUUCUCUCACAGACUUCCUCGGGGGUGUUGGGGAGAGUAAUGGGGAUCUGUUUGUCCAUAUUCUAAGAAACCAAAUACUAGAAACUAGUUCUCUUUAUAAGAUCCAGGGAAGGCCAGUCCACCUCCAUUGCUUGACAGAUCUCACCUAAAGCUGAAAUAGUCACAAACUAAAGUUUGCUGGACCAUAUAAUGAAGCUAGAAGUACUCCCCAGGAAAGUUUACCUUCAGAACCAGGAGGCCAAAGAAAGAAAAAGGCCCCACGUCCCAGGAAAUGGGACACACUGGUGCAUUUCCAUUUGCCAGGAGAACUGGAAGGAGAGGGAAAGCUUCUGCCACGUACAUUUCCAGAUGGGAUUUGUGGGCUUGGCUCAUGGUGGGGCCCACACAAGCUCUCCAGCUGUGUCCUGGGAUCUCUAGGAAGAGGCCUAGCAGCAGGAUGAGGCAGGAGACGUCCUCCCAGGGAUAAAA
RNAcentral lists this long non-coding RNA (1182 nucleotides) under Macaca fascicularis (crab-eating macaque). RNAcentral describes it as "lncRNA (ENSMFAG00000063032.1)". The record is from RNAcentral. Lineage: Eukaryota; Metazoa; Chordata; Mammalia; Primates; Cercopithecidae.